Molecule: long non-coding RNA, 616 nt
Organism: Myxocyprinus asiaticus (Chinese sucker)
Lineage: Eukaryota; Metazoa; Chordata; Actinopteri; Cypriniformes; Catostomidae
Exons: 3
Source: RefSeq, a predicted model, not a curated record
AGCGGCUGCUCUAAGGACCACCCUCCAAUCUUCCUCCCCAUGAUGAAGUCGCUUUUCAGAAAACAUCAGAGGUGCCCCAUAAAACAGAUUUGGCCAAAGUGACAAUGGUGCGUAUGUGACUCAUUCCUACCUGCAAUCUGUUAGGAGAAAGAGAGUUCACUGUUACAAGAGAGAAACUGUUUUGGGAUCUAGGACAGGCACCAGUGGAACCUGAAUCAGAAUCACCCUCAUGUUGGAUCCAGACCCAUAUGACUGUCUUUCCUCUGCAGAGCAAAAAAGGAGAUGCUAGGCAAAAUGUAACUGUGUGUUCCAGAGAGAGGUCACUUUCCCUGGGCCCGGUGAACUCUAGCUGAUACUUGUCUGUUGGAGGAAUUUCAGUGGGUUCUGGAACAGGACCAUUUUUUUUUUUUUUUUUUUUUUUAAUUCAGCAAGUUCACUUGACAAGGCUUAACCUCCUUAUAAAUAAAAUGUUUCAUUGUAUCAAUUCUGCAGUUAAAUUAUAGGAGUCUUGAAAGGUUUAUAGCAUAACUAUGCUCCCAUUUCACUCUACAAAUGAAAAUCAGAAUAGUACACACAAGUCAGAGAUUAUGAAAAGUGAAGAAAAUAAAAAUGAACA